AACGAACGCUGGCGGCAGGCCUAACACAUGCAAGUCGAGCGCCCUUUCGGGGGAGCGGCGGACGGGUGAGUAACGCGUGGGAAUAUGCCCUUCUCUACGGAAUAGCCUCGGGAAACUGAGAGUAAUACCGUAUACGCCCUGUGGGGGAAAGAUUUAUCGGGGAAGGAUUAGCCCGCGUUGGAUUAGGUAGUUGGUGGGGUAAUGGCCUACCAAGCCGACGAUCCAUAGCUGGUUUGAGAGGAUGAUCAGCCACACUGGGACUGAGACACGGCCCAGACUCCUACGGGGGGCAGCAGUGGGGAAUCUUAGACAAUGGGGGCAACCCUGAUCUAGCCAUGCCGCGUGAGUGAUGAAGGCCUUAGGGUUGUAAAGCUCUUUCAGCUGGGAAGAUAAUGACGGUACCAGCAGAAGAAGCCCCGGCUAACUCCGUG
RNAcentral lists this ribosomal RNA (431 nucleotides) under uncultured bacterium. RNAcentral's name for it is "partial 16S ribosomal RNA". It matches the Rfam family "Bacterial small subunit ribosomal RNA", at positions 29 to 507 of the family's 1533-position model. The record is from RNAcentral.